GUCCUCGUGGAGCAGCCUGGAGUGCUCGCCACCCUGUCAAGGUGGAGAACGUGGGUUCAAAUCCCAUCGGGGACG
Molecule: transfer RNA, 75 nt
Filed under: Planctomycetota bacterium
Lineage: Bacteria; Pseudomonadati; Planctomycetota
Also listed under: 1 other name
Description: Planctomycetes bacterium tRNA-Asp
Rfam family: tRNA
About the family: Transfer RNA (tRNA) molecules are approximately 80 nucleotides in length. Their secondary structure includes four short double-helical elements and three loops (D, anti-codon, and T loops).
Source: RNAcentral